UGGGGUGCAGCUCAGCAGUAAAGUGCUUGCCUAGCAUGUGUGAGGCCCUGGGUUCAAUCCCCAACACCUCAA
Molecule: transfer RNA, 72 nt
Filed under: Ictidomys tridecemlineatus (thirteen-lined ground squirrel)
Lineage: Eukaryota; Metazoa; Chordata; Mammalia; Rodentia; Sciuridae
Description: Spermophilus tridecemlineatus (thirteen-lined ground squirrel) tRNA
Rfam family: tRNA
About the family: Transfer RNA (tRNA) molecules are approximately 80 nucleotides in length.
Source: Rfam by way of RNAcentral